RNAcentral lists this transfer RNA (85 nucleotides) under Felis catus (domestic cat). It matches the Rfam family "tRNA". From Rfam's summary of the family: Transfer RNA (tRNA) molecules are approximately 80 nucleotides in length. Lineage: Eukaryota; Metazoa; Chordata; Mammalia; Carnivora; Felidae. The record is from Rfam by way of RNAcentral. RNAcentral also lists the same sequence under 1 other name.
GCCUGGGUGGCUCAGUCGGUUAAGCGUCCGACUUCGGCUCAGGUCAUGAUCUCGUGGUUUGUGGGUUCGAGCCCCGCAUCAGGCU